Molecule: non-coding RNA, 137 nt
Filed under: Rummeliibacillus stabekisii
Lineage: Bacteria; Bacillati; Bacillota; Bacilli; Caryophanales; Caryophanaceae
Description: FMN sequence
Rfam family: FMN riboswitch aptamer (RFN element)
About the family: The RFN element is a highly conserved domain that is found frequently in the 5'-untranslated regions of prokaryotic mRNAs that encode for flavin mononucleotide (FMN) biosynthesis and transport proteins. This element is a metabolite-dependent riboswitch that directly binds FMN in the absence of proteins. In Bacillus subtilis, the riboswitch most likely controls gene expression by causing premature transcription termination within the 5' untranslated region of the ribDEAHT operon and precluding access to the ribosome-binding site of ypaA mRNA.
Source: Rfam by way of RNAcentral
AUUCAUCUUCGGGGCAGGGUGAAAUUCCCGAUCGGCGGUAUUAGAGGCAUUUUGACCUCUUGAGCCCGCGAGCCGUUAAGGCAGGACUUGGUGAGAAUCCAGGGCCGACAGUAUAGUCUGGAUGGGAGAAGGUGAAG